Molecule: transfer RNA, 77 nt
Filed under: Bacillota bacterium
Lineage: Bacteria; Bacillati; Bacillota
Also listed under: 1 other name
Description: tRNA-Val
Rfam family: tRNA
About the family: Transfer RNA (tRNA) molecules are approximately 80 nucleotides in length. Their secondary structure includes four short double-helical elements and three loops (D, anti-codon, and T loops).
Source: RNAcentral
GGGGUUAUAGCUCAGCUGGUUAGAGCGCUACGUUGACAUCGUAGAGGUCGUUGGUUCGAUCCCAAUUAACCCCACCA